ACGAUGACUGACGUCCUCCCUACAGUAAUCCUGAGAUCUCUGAAGCAAGAGUUGAUGGAGACAAGAGGCCUCCCUCCCUAGAUGAUUUCUAUGGCAAAAGUGCAGUUGCACACACACCGCUUCGUGUACCCUGCUGAUAUAACUUAAGUGAUGUGAUAUGAAAGCAGCAAAUACCCCACAUCACAGCCAUUAUUAUUAUUUCAGUCAAAAUAUUGCAUGUACCUGUGCCUGCUGAUCCUCUACUGGUCCGGGUUUGAUUCGCAUAAUCAAUAACUGUGCAAGAACGGCGAUACUGUGGAUCCGGCUGAAAGAUAAGGUGCCGAACAACUUUACAUCGACAAACCUGGGCAGAUUUGAAAUGGGGAUUUAGGACUUAAAGGUUCUGUACCAAUCACUUGAGCCAUCCAGUUCUCCAUUAAGUAUUUAUAAAUGCUAACAGCUAAAGCAAAAUCUACCAAACAAUCUCUCUGGAUCUACAUACUAUUUGGAUACAUUUGCCACUUUUUACCCAAAAUGCAUGUGUCGUAUUAGGCCUGGAGAAAUGAUCAGGUAAGAAAAGCCUCUCCUGUGGCUGCUGAUGGUUAAUCUCAUCUUCCAUUGCACUCUGAGCUCGACUGGAAUUCCCUCGGGGAUCCUACAUCAAAGUACAGGAAAAUUAACAAUCAGACUAUUUUUGAUUGUGACUACUUUAAAGAUAAAAUCUUGGAAUCAGAGUCUAAUCAUCUAUGAGCAUCUUCACAGGAAACAGAAAAUGGUUCCUACUUUCACUGGGUCUGAAAAGCACUCAACUUUGUUCCAGUUUGUUGGUCAAAACUCAUGAUCUUAUUUUUGUAUUACAGCAUUUUAUUGUCUUAUCAUAACUAUGAGGAAGAACUUCUAAGAACAUCAGGAUAAUUUGGAUAACAACAAAAAUAUAAACCAAAAAUAAAAAUACAAUAAAGAAUUCUUGAAUUUGCCAAUGCAA
Long non-coding RNA from Chelonia mydas (Green sea turtle), 964 nucleotides. RefSeq lists it as uncharacterized. Lineage: Eukaryota; Metazoa; Chordata; Testudines; Cheloniidae. The record is from RefSeq and is a predicted model, not a curated record. The transcript is spliced from 3 exons.